RNAcentral lists this ribosomal RNA (495 nucleotides) under uncultured bacterium. RNAcentral describes it as "partial 16S ribosomal RNA". It matches the Rfam family "Bacterial small subunit ribosomal RNA", at positions 28 to 506 of the family's 1533-position model. The record is from RNAcentral.
GACGAACGCUGGCGGCGUGCCUAAUACAUGCAAGUUGAGCGAUGAAGAUUGGUGCUUGCACCAAUUUGAAGAGCAGCGAACGGGUGAGUAACGCGUGGGGAAUCUGCCUUUGAGCGGGGGACAACAUUUGGAAACGAAUGCUAAUACCGCAUAACAACUUUAAACAUAAGUUUUAAGUUUGAAAGAUGCAAUUGCAUCACUCAAAGAUGAUCCCGCGUUGUAUUAGCUAGUUGGUGGGGUAAAGGCUCACCAAGGCGAUGAUACAUAGCCGACCUGAGAGGGUGAUCGGCCACAUUGGGACUGAGACACGGCCCAAACUCCUACGGGAGGCAGCAGUAGGGAAUCUUCGGCAAUGGACGAAAGUCUGACCGAGCAACGCCGCGUGAGUGAAGAAGGUUUCGGAUCGUAAAACUCUGUUGGUAGAGAAGAACGUUGGUGAGAGUGGAAAGCUCAUCAAGUGACGGUAACUACCCAGAAAGGGACGGCUAACUACGU